This 480-nucleotide long non-coding RNA is filed under the name Sinocyclocheilus grahami. Its description in RNAcentral is "lncRNA (ENSSGRG00000019167.1)". Lineage: Eukaryota; Metazoa; Chordata; Actinopteri; Cypriniformes; Cyprinidae. The record is from RNAcentral.
GCGUGUUGUUGAUGAGUUGUUGUUGUUGUUUGCUCUGGUCACGUGAUCUCGCUCCUCCAGUAGAGGGCUUGUGAGCUGCGCAUGCGCACUGCUCAGUGCUGUCAGUCACCUCACCGCGUCUGGCGGAUCUCUCGGGCUCUCAGUGCGGGUCCUGUAGGUGAUCCGGGGCAGAUGAAGCCUGUGUUUGAGCGGCACGCGUUUGGGCUGAACCCCUGACUGCGGACAGCAGCCGAGCGAUCUCUAAUGAUGCAGAGUGAAGACCGCAAGAGAAAGAAGCACAGUUUGAACCCCAGAAGCGUGUCAGACGAGUACAGUCUGCGUGAGCGACCGAAAGACGAAGCCACAAAGAUGAAGAAUAAAGUUUCUACUUCACAAGGCAGGAAACAGAAUCUUCUUGCGUGCUUCAUAAAAACACACACUGUGCCGAUGAGUCUGGCUUCAUGUUAUCUAGUGUGUCUAAUGUUGCUCUGUAUUUCAUGA